Molecule: ribosomal RNA, 490 nt
Filed under: uncultured bacterium
Lineage: Bacteria
Description: partial 16S ribosomal RNA
Rfam family: Bacterial small subunit ribosomal RNA
Source: RNAcentral
AGUGAACGCUGGCGGUAGGCCUAACACAUGCAAGUCGAACGGCAGCACAGGAUAGCUUGCUCUCUGGGUGGCGAGUGGCGGACGGGUGAGGAAUACAUCGGAAUCUGCCCAGUCGUGGGGGAUAACGUAGGGAAACUUACGCUAAUACCGCAUACGACCUUCGGGUGAAAGAGGGGGAUCGCAAGACCUCUCGCGAUUGGAUGAGCCGAUGUCGGAUUAGCUAGUUGGCGGGGUAAUGGCCCACCAAGGCGACGAUCCGUAGCUGGUCUGAGAGGAUGAUCAGCCACACUGGAACUGAGACACGGUCCAGACUCCUACGGGAGGCAGCAGUGGGGAAUAUUGGACAAUGGGCGCAAGCCUGAUCCAGCCAUACCGCGUGGGUGAAGAAGGCCUUCGGGUUGUAAAGCCCUUUUGUUGGGAAAGAAAUCUUUCAGGCUAAUACCCUGGGAGGAUGACGGUACCCAAAGAAUAAGCACCGGCUAACUUCGUG